CUUGUCUCAAAGAUUAAGCCAUGCAAGUGUCAGUUCAUGCCAAACUAAGGUGAAACCGCGAAAGGCUCAUUAAAUCAGUUACAGUUUACUUGAUGGCAUGACGUUACCGUUACUUGGAUAACUGUGGCAAUUCUAGAGCUAAUACAUGCACUCGAGUCCCGACCGCGUUAGCGCGCGGAAGGGAUGCUUUUAUUAGAUCAAAACCAAUCGGGAAAUCGGGCGAGAGUCCGACGUACCGUACAGUCUUGGUGACUCUGGAUAAAUUGUCGCUGAUCGCAAGGUCUUCGCGCCUGCGACGCAUCUUUCAAAUGUCUGACUUAUCAACUAUCGACGGUAUGCCACGUGCCUACCGUGGUGGUAACGGGUAACGGGGAAUCAGGGUUCGAUUCCGGAGAGGGAGCCUGCGAAACAGCUACCACAUCCAAGGAAGGCAGCAGGCGCGCAAAUUACCCACUCCCGGCACGGGGAGGUAGUGACGAAAAAUA
Molecule: ribosomal RNA, 485 nt
Filed under: Menacanthus stramineus
Lineage: Eukaryota; Metazoa; Arthropoda; Insecta; Psocodea; Menoponidae
Description: bacterial SSU rRNA
Rfam family: Eukaryotic small subunit ribosomal RNA
Source: RNAcentral